UUCGCUCGCCCCCCCGAGCCAGCGACGCAACUAUGGCGCAGCGCCAACGUAGAAAAUUGUACAAACCCGACAUAGAAGAUCGUCAAAAUGUUGUUUUUCGUCGUUAAUGCUCGUUAGAGGGAAAUUGAUGGCCGAACGCAGCGCGCCCGAGCCUAAACCGUCCGA
Molecule: unclassified non-coding RNA, 165 nt
Filed under: uncultured bacterium
Lineage: Bacteria
Description: 16S-23S ribosomal RNA intergenic spacer
Source: RNAcentral